CAGAGUUAGGGUCUUCUAGGCCCGACCUCCCAACCCUUUGUUUAACCAACUCUUGUUGCUUCGGCGGGCCCGUCCUUCACCGGACCGCCGGAGGACCGUCCUCGCGGUCCUCUGGCCCGCGCCCGUCGGUGGCCGUUUAUACCUAAACUCAUGAAUCCAAUCGUGCCUUUGUCUGAGUAUACAUGAAAAUAAAAGCA
This 197-nucleotide unclassified non-coding RNA is filed under the name uncultured Capronia. Its description in RNAcentral is "sequence contains ITS1". Lineage: Eukaryota; Fungi; Ascomycota; Eurotiomycetes; Chaetothyriales; Herpotrichiellaceae. The record is from RNAcentral.